This 496-nucleotide ribosomal RNA is filed under the name uncultured bacterium. RNAcentral describes it as "partial 16S ribosomal RNA". It matches the Rfam family "Bacterial small subunit ribosomal RNA", at positions 29 to 507 of the family's 1533-position model. The record is from RNAcentral.
AUGAACGCUGGCGGCGUGCCUAAUACAUGCAAGUCGAGCGAACGGACGAGAAGCUUGCUUCUCUGAUGUUAGCGGCGGCCGGGUGAGUAACCCGUGGAUAACCUACCUAUAAGACUGGGAUAACUUCGGGAAACCGGAGCUAAUACCGGAUAAUAUUUUGAACCGCAUGGUUCAAAAGUGAAAGACGGUCUUGCUGUCACUUAUAGCUGGAUCCGCGCUGCAUUAGCUAGUUGGUAAGGUAACGGCUUACCAAGGCAACGAUGCAUAGCCGACCUGAGAGGGUGAUCGGCCACACUGGAACUGAGACACGGUCCAGACUCCUACGGGAGGCAGCAGUAGGGAAUCUUCCGCAAUGGGCGAAAGCCUGACGGAGCAACGCCGCGUGAGUGAUGAAGGUCUUCGGAUCGUAAAACUCUGUUAUUAGGGAAGAACAUAUGUGUAAGUAACUGUGCACAUCUUGACGGUACCUAAUCAGAAAGCCACGGCUAACUACGCG